RNAcentral lists this ribosomal RNA (499 nucleotides) under uncultured bacterium. Its description in RNAcentral is "partial 16S ribosomal RNA". It matches the Rfam family "Bacterial small subunit ribosomal RNA", at positions 29 to 523 of the family's 1533-position model. The record is from RNAcentral.
AUUGAACGCUGGCGACAUGCCUUACACAUGCAAGUCGAACGGUAACAGGUCUUCGGAUGCUGACGAGUGGCGAACGGGUGAGUAAUACAUCGGAACGUGCCCGAUCGUGGGGGAUAACGGAGCGAAAGCUUUGCUAAUACCGCAUAAGAUCUACGGAUGAGAGCAGGGGACCGCAAGGCCUUGCGCGAACGGAGCGGCCGAUGGCAGAUUAGGUAGUUGGUGGGAUAAAAGCUUACCAAGCCGACGAUCUGUAGCUGGUCUGAGAGGACGACCAGCCACACUGGGGCUGAGACACGGCCCAGACUCCUACGGGAGGCAGCAGUGGGGAAUUUUGGACAAUGGGCGCAAGCCUGAUCCAGCCAUGCCGCGUGCAGGAUGAAGGCCUUCGGGUUGUAAACCACUGUCAGUGGGAAAGAUGGGUGUCGGCGCGAUAACCGCCGGCAUCUGACGGUACCUGCAGAGGAAGCCCCGGCUAACUCUGUGCCAGCCGCCGCGGUAA